Molecule: ribosomal RNA, 892 nt
Filed under: Lactiplantibacillus plantarum
Lineage: Bacteria; Bacillati; Bacillota; Bacilli; Lactobacillales; Lactobacillaceae
Description: bacterial SSU rRNA
Rfam family: Bacterial small subunit ribosomal RNA
Source: RNAcentral
UGCAAGUCGAACGAACUCUGGUAUUGAUUGGUGCUUGCAUCAUGAUUUACAUUUGAGUGAGUGGCGAACUGGUGAGUAACACGUGGGAAACCUGCCCAGAAGCGGGGGAUAACACCUGGAAACAGAUGCUAAUACCGCAUAACAACUUGGACCGCAUGGUCUGAGCUUGAAAGAUGGCUUCGGCUAUCACUUUUGGAUGGUCCCGCGGCGUAUUAGCUAGAUGGUGGGGUAACGGCUCACCAUGGCAAUGAUACGUAGCCGACCUGAGAGGGUAAUCGGCCACAUUGGGACUGAGACACGGCCCAAACUCCUACGGGAGGCAGCAGUAGGGAAUCUUCCACAAUGGACGAAAGUCUGAUGGAGCAACGCCGCGUGAGUGAAGAAGGGUUUCGGCUCGUAAAACUCUGUUGUUAAAGAAGAACAUAUCUGAGAGUAACUGUUCAGGUAUUGACGGUAUUUAACCAGAAAGCCACGGCUAACUACGUGCCAGCAGCCGCGGUAAUACGUAGGUGGCAAGCGUUGUCCGGAUUUAUUGGGCGUAAAGCGAGCGCAGGCGGUUUUUUAAGUCUGAUGUGAAAGCCUUCGGCUCAACCGAAGAAGUGCAUCGGAAACUGGGAAACUUGAGUGCAGAAGAGGACAGUGGAACUCCAUGUGUAGCGGUGAAAUGCGUAGAUAUAUGGAAGAACACCAGUGGCGAAGGCGGCUGUCUGGUCUGUAACUGACGCUGAGGCUCGAAAGUAUGGGUAGCAAACAGGAUUAGAUACCCUGGUAGUCCAUACCGUAAACGAUGAAUGCUAAGUGUUGGAGGGUUUCCGCCCUUCAGUGCUGCAGCUAACGCAUUAAGCAUUCCGCCUGGGGAGUACGGCCGCAAGGCUGAAACUCAAGAAAAUAU